GUUAAGGGGUAUGUUGUCUGGCUCGGUGCCCCCGGUCGAGGUCGAUAGUCGUCGACUCCCUUCGCCGGGAGAAAGACGUGCAUGUGCGUCGAUUGAUCGGGGACGUCGGACCAGGCUUCAUUCCCUUUAAC
RNAcentral lists this microRNA precursor (131 nucleotides) under Triticum aestivum (bread wheat). RNAcentral's name for it is "pre miRNA mir-166". It matches the Rfam family "mir-166 microRNA precursor family". Rfam says of the family: This family represents the plant microRNA (miRNA) precursor mir-166. Animal miRNAs are transcribed as ~70nt precursors and subsequently processed by the Dicer enzyme to give a ~22nt product. RNAcentral also lists the same sequence under 1 other name. Lineage: Eukaryota; Viridiplantae; Streptophyta; Magnoliopsida; Poales; Poaceae. The record is from Rfam by way of RNAcentral.